UAUAAAAGGGAGUAGGAUCCACAUUUGUGCCAAUCUCAGCCAUCUACACAAUGAAGAUCAUCAUACUUUUUGCACUGGCUAGUGUCGGUGUCUGCACGGAGUCUGGGAGCUAUGAUUCCCCGCCACCAGAGGAAUGCUCAACAUGUGAACCAUAUGUUCCCACAUUUGAUCGCUGUGAUGGCUUUGAAAAU
Molecule: long non-coding RNA, 191 nt
Organism: Bufo bufo (common toad)
Lineage: Eukaryota; Metazoa; Chordata; Amphibia; Anura; Bufonidae
Exons: 2
Source: RefSeq, a predicted model, not a curated record